This 468-nucleotide ribosomal RNA is filed under the name uncultured bacterium. RNAcentral's name for it is "partial 16S ribosomal RNA". It matches the Rfam family "Bacterial small subunit ribosomal RNA", at positions 28 to 507 of the family's 1533-position model. The record is from RNAcentral.
GACGAACGCUGGCGGCGUGCUUAACACAUGCAAGUCGAACGGAAAGGCCCUGCUUUUGUGGGGUGCUCGAGUGGCGAACGGGUGAGUAACACGUGAGUAACCUGCCCUUGACUUUGGGAUAACUUCAUGAAACUGGGGCUAAUACCGGCUAGGAGCUCCUGCUGCAUGGUGGGGGUUGGAAAGUUUCGGCGGUUGGGGAUGGACUCGCGGCUUAUCAGCUUGUUGGUGGGGUAGUGGCUUACCAAGGCUUUGACGGGUAGCCGGCCUGAGAGGGUGACCGGCCACAUUGGGACUGAGAUACGGCCCAGACUACUACGGGAGGCAGCAGUGGGGAAUAUUGCACAAUGGGCGGAAGCCUGAUGCAGCAAAGCCGCGUGCGGGAUGACGGCAUUCGGGUUGUAAACCGCUUUCGCCUGUGACGAAGCGUGAGUGACGGUAAUGGGUAAAGAAGCACCGGCUAACUACGUG